Molecule: transfer RNA, 89 nt
Filed under: Candidatus Omnitrophota bacterium
Lineage: Bacteria; Pseudomonadati; Candidatus Omnitrophota
Description: Candidatus Omnitrophica bacterium tRNA-Ser
Rfam family: tRNA
About the family: Transfer RNA (tRNA) molecules are approximately 80 nucleotides in length.
Source: RNAcentral
GGAGGGAUGGCUGAAUGGUGAAAGCAAACGCCUGCUAAGCGUUUAGGGGGCCAAAAGCUCCCUUCAGGGUUCGAGUCCCUGUCCCUCCG